CCUACGGGUGGCUGCAGUGGGGAAUAUUGCACAAUGGGCGCAAGCCUGAUGCAGCCAUGCCGCGUGUGUGAAGAAGGCCUUCGGGUUGUAAAGCACUUUCAGCGGGGAGGAGGGCGGUGAGGUUAAUAACCUCAUCGAUUGACGUUACCCGCAGAAGAAGCACCGGCUAACUCCGUGCCAGCAGCCGCGGUAAUACGGAGGGUGCAAGCGUUAAUCGGAAUUACUGGGCGUAAAGCGCACGCAGGCGGUCUGUCAAGUCGGAUGUGAAAUCCCCGGGCUCAACCUGGGAACUGCAUUCGAAACUGGCAGGCUAGAGUCUUGUAGAGGGGGGUAGAAUUCCAGGUGUAGCGGUGAAAUGCGUAGAGAUCUGGAGGAAUACCGGUGGCGAAGGCGGCCCCCUGGACAAAGACUGACGCUCAGGUGCGAAAGCGUGGGGAGCAAACAGGAUUAGGUACCCCGGUAGUC
This 465-nucleotide ribosomal RNA is filed under the name uncultured Klebsiella sp. Its description in RNAcentral is "bacterial SSU rRNA". It matches the Rfam family "Bacterial small subunit ribosomal RNA", at positions 338 to 795 of the family's 1533-position model. The record is from RNAcentral. Lineage: Bacteria; Pseudomonadati; Pseudomonadota; Gammaproteobacteria; Enterobacterales; Enterobacteriaceae.